Molecule: ribosomal RNA, 459 nt
Filed under: Triticum aestivum (bread wheat)
Lineage: Eukaryota; Viridiplantae; Streptophyta; Magnoliopsida; Poales; Poaceae
Description: partial small subunit ribosomal RNA
Source: RNAcentral
AUGGCGCCGAAGAAGACGCCGAAGGGCAAGUCGGGCUUCUUCGGCGUGAGGCAGAAGCCCUCCGGUAACCGGGGUGUGGAGUUCUCCGACGCCGGAAGGCGUUGGUGGAUUGGCACGUACCCCUCCGCCCACGAGGCCGCGUGUGCCUACGACGUGGCGGUGUGGCGUGCCGAGAGGCCUCGGUCGCACCUCAACUUCCCAGAGAUCGAGACUCGGGCGGAAGCGGAGAUGCUUGUGCCGCAGGGCAUCAACAUGAAGGAGAUCACGAAGAAGAAGAAGAAGACGAAGAAGCCGUCGGUUGUCGUCAGUGCUGGCGAGACCGACGAGGAGGCGAUGGCGAGGUUUGCUCGGGAGCAUCCGGAGUACGUCCAGGCCGAGCUGGAGUACUACUGGAAGUGUGAGGCGGAGCAGAAGAAGAAGGGCCGAAGAAGGAGGACGAGGCCGGUCCCUCGACGGUGA